AUAUCAAGUCUUUCUCAUAUAACAUUUUUCUUGUACUAAUACGUAUUGGUCGAUUUUGACACCACUAGGUAGCCAAUGGUUGGUGAAACAAAUCGAUACAAGAUAUAACUAGAUAUAAAUAAGGCUAUUAAAUCAUUAAAUUAACAAGUAUGAAAAGUACAAAAAUAAAAAGUUAAAACUAACGAUCGAUGGAAAAUCCAUAUGCCUUCUUUAGAUUCUCAUUUUCCUGGAGAAGAUAUCUUACUGUGCCUAUGACCCUUCCUGCUUGGACCCGACGGCGGAGCUCGGCGUAUGGCAAAGAGAUGAUAAUUAGCCACCUUCCGACACCCUUUAAUUUUUCCAUCGACCACCACCGAGCUGGCCACUUUCUCAAACUCAGAACCACAAUGUUCGACUGGCGCUGGCGCCGGGUGGAUUCGAGCCCAAGAUUCACUUCCACUUGUCAAUAAAACUACCAUUACAAUUAUCAUGAAGGAGCUUAAUAUUUUUUGAUAAGAAAAGCUGGGCAUCGUGUGUAUAACAAAUUACAUAAACUUGAAUUGGCUGCAAAUUAAUUUGAGAGGCU
Molecule: long non-coding RNA, 565 nt
Filed under: Olea europaea subsp. europaea
Lineage: Eukaryota; Viridiplantae; Streptophyta; Magnoliopsida; Lamiales; Oleaceae
Source: RNAcentral